RNAcentral lists this non-coding RNA (204 nucleotides) under Parabacteroides sp. CAG:409. RNAcentral also lists the same sequence under 1 other name. The record is from RNAcentral. Lineage: Bacteria; Pseudomonadati; Bacteroidota; Bacteroidia; Bacteroidales; Tannerellaceae.
CUACCUUUGCGGGCGUUAGGUGAAGUUCAUAGCCUUCCGGCCUGAACUUGAAAAGGGAAUCCGGUGUAAAUCCGGAGCAGUACCCGCUACUGUGACACCUGCGAAUGAGAAGAAUACACACUCCAUGCCACUAUCGUACAGCCGAUGGGAAGGCCAUUCUUCUUAAGGUGCAGCCAGGAAACCUGCCUAAACAGAAUAACAAUU